RNAcentral lists this ribosomal RNA (111 nucleotides) under uncultured bacterium. Its description in RNAcentral is "partial 16S ribosomal RNA". It matches the Rfam family "Bacterial small subunit ribosomal RNA", at positions 1357 to 1482 of the family's 1533-position model. The record is from RNAcentral.
CUGCGGUGAAUACGUUCCCGGGCCUUGUACACACCGCCCGUCAAACCAUGGAAGUUGGGGGCACCCGAAGUCGCCGAUGAGGUGCCGAAGGUGAACCCAAUGACUGGGGUU